Molecule: ribosomal RNA, 253 nt
Filed under: uncultured bacterium
Lineage: Bacteria
Description: partial 16S ribosomal RNA
Rfam family: Bacterial small subunit ribosomal RNA
Source: RNAcentral
UACGGAGGGUGCGAGCGUUGUCCGGAAUCACUGGGCGUAAAGGGCGCGUAGGCGGCUGGGGAAGUCCGUGGUGAAAGCUCGUGGCUCAACUGCGAGUCGGCCACGGAGACUCCUCAGCUCGAGCACUGUAGAGGCAGGUGGAAUUCCGGGUGUAGCGGUGGAAUGCGUAGAGAUCCGGAAGAACACCGGUGGCGAAGGCGACCUGCUGGGCAGUAGCUGACGCUGAGGCGCGACAGCGUGGGGAGCAAACAGG